Molecule: ribosomal RNA, 253 nt
Filed under: uncultured bacterium
Lineage: Bacteria
Description: partial 16S ribosomal RNA
Rfam family: Bacterial small subunit ribosomal RNA
Source: RNAcentral
UACGGGGGGGGCAAGCGUUGUUCGGAAUUACUGGGCGUAAAGGGUUCGUAGGUGGCUUGCUAAGUCAGACGUGAAAUCCCUCAGCUUAACUGGGGAACUGCGUCUGAGACUGGUGAGCUUGAGUGCAGGAGGGGAACGCGGAAUUCCAGGUGUAGCGGUGAAAUGCGUAGAUAUCUGGAGGAACACCGGUGGCGAAGGCGGCGUUCUGGACUGCUACUGACACUGAGGAACGAAAGCGUGGGGAGCGAACAGG